This 812-nucleotide ribosomal RNA is filed under the name uncultured cyanobacterium. Its description in RNAcentral is "bacterial SSU rRNA". It matches the Rfam family "Bacterial small subunit ribosomal RNA", at positions 71 to 902 of the family's 1533-position model. Lineage: Bacteria; Bacillati; Cyanobacteriota. The record is from RNAcentral.
UGAGGCCCUUCGGGGUACAUCAGUGGCGGACGGGUGAGUAACACGUAGGUAACAUGCCUCAAACUGGGGGAUAACAGAGGGAAACUUCUGCUAAUACCGCAUAGGCCCUGGGUUGAAAUACUCAUGGUUAAAGAAGUAAUUCGGUUUGAGAUUGGCCUGCGUUGGAUUAGCUCGUUGGUAGGGUAAUGGCCUACCAAGGCGAUGAUCCAUAGUUGGUCUGAGAGGAUGACCAGCCACAGUGGGACUGAGACACGGCCCACACUCCUACGGGAGGCAGCAGUAGGGAAUAUUGCGCAAUGGGCGAAAGCCUGACGCAGCAACACCGCGUGGAGGAUGAAGCAUUUCGGUGUGUAAACUCCUGUCGACAGGGAAGAAAUUUGACUGUACCUGUAAAGGAAGCAUCGGCUAACUACGUGCCAGCAGCCGCGGUAAGACGUAGGAUGCAAGCGUUGUCCGGAAUUAUUGGGCGUAAAGAGUUCGUAGGCGGUUUGUUAAGUCUGGUGUUAAAUCCCCAAGCUCAACUUGGGUAUGGCAUUGGAUACUGGCAGGCUAGAGUGCGGUAGAGGUAAUUGGAAUUCCAGGUGUAGCGGUGAAAUGCGUAGAUAUCUGGAGGAACACCAGUGGCGAAAGCGAAUUGCUGGCCCGCAACUGACGCUGAGGAACGAGAGCUAGGGGAGCAAAAGGGAUUAGAUACCCCUGUAGUCCUAGCUGUAAACGAUGGAUACUAGGUGUUGGUGGCUUCGACCCCAUCAGUGCCGUAGCUAACGCGAUAAGUAUCCCGCCUGGGGAGUACGCUCGCAAGAGUGAAACUC